RNAcentral lists this long non-coding RNA (1700 nucleotides) under Brassica napus (rape). Its description in RNAcentral is "long non-coding RNA (BNAP_LNC007349)". Lineage: Eukaryota; Viridiplantae; Streptophyta; Magnoliopsida; Brassicales; Brassicaceae. The record is from RNAcentral.
GAUGCGACGCCGGAAUCGUCUUCGUCGAUGACGGGAACUGACUCAUCAACGUCGGAAACUGUAACAUUACUCUCUCUAUCUAAAAAUCGAAGGUCUAAUAACAAUCAUAAUCAAAACGCAGCGUAUUUGUUAUGAAGGACUCGGCCUUUAGUUAAUGUUAUUGGGCUUUCACCCACGUAGCCUAUUAAUACAGAAUUAAUUGGCCCAACAUAUUGUUUGUCUACUGUACAUAAAGAACUUAUGUGAAAGUGAAACUACACACACAAAACAGUGAAAGUACUUGUCAUACUCGUAUCCAUUUCAUUUAAAUCCACCGUUUAAUAAGGGGAUAAAGUAUUUAGUGGUAGAUCUGGUGGGGAUUUUGCUUUAGAUAUUGUAGAAGACUUGUUUUUAAAGCGAAGGCCCAUUUGGCCCACUCUAUCUUUUAUAGGUUGGGGGAAAAUCUUUAAAUUAUUUUUUUUUUUCUAAAAGUUCAGGAAAAAAUACUAGAGCAAGUUUAUCGGUGAGAUUAAGAGAGAAUAUCAGCUAUUGAAAGAAAAUUUAAGAUAAUAAAAAAAGCAUGUGAUAUGUUAAGAAAAGUUCUCACUAGCGAACCUUCAGGUUGUAACAAUUACCACCAAAUUGUUGGCUUAAAUUUUGUUAGAAAGGAAAAUUUAUUUUAUCAUUUGAAACCUUUUUUUUUUAUUUUUCUUAGAAACUUUAAUAGUUUCUUGGCGAUGAGGCUGCCCUUAUCCAUUGUAUAACUCGCAUGUCAUUCAUUUUCACUGUUGUUUAAGUCCGGCCUCUAAUCCUAAUAAAAAAAAGUUUGAUCAUAUUUUGUUUAACUUAUCAAGUCACGUAGCAUGUGGAGAUGGAUAUGAACAAUAGUCAAUAAUAUAAGGAAGCAAAUUAUAGAUAAAACAUUGACUAAGAAUCUUGCAAGAAAAAGUUCGGUGAAUAGUUGUAAAGCCUUACAUUGUGUUGAAAAACUUAGGGUAAAAUGAAAAAGCAUCAAAUAUUGACUAUGAAUCUUGCAAGAAAAUGUUAACUAAAUAGUUGUAAAGGCUGUACAUUGUGUAGAAAAACUUAGGGUAAAUUGAAAAGCAUCACAUUAUUAUUUACAAAAGGCCGAACACAACUUUAAAAAGCUUCACUCUUUAUUACCUUUUUUCCACACCCCAUUUCCUGUGAGAAUGAAACUUAGCAUGCGGGAAUAUAACUAUACGGCUUUGCUUCAGAAAAAACGACACAAAACUUAUCUUUAUAUGACUUACACACAUUUAUACAAGUCUUUGAAUCUGUGUACGUAUAUCUAUCUAUUUUACAGUAUAUAUAUGUUGGUUGACAUCAGUUUGAAAAUAUAAUAAGCAAUAUGUUUCUUGCUUCAAAUCUUCCUCAAAAGCUUGUGUUCUUGAUCUUGGUUUGUCUCGGUGAGAGUGAAGAUGAUGAUGCUGGAAGCUCUUGUCCUGGUUAAGUCACGUUGAGGUCAUCUACUCCAUUGAUGAAGCUAAGUGGGGAAUAAGCAUUCCUGGUCCGAAUUGACUUCACUUUUAAAUCUUAUUACAUAUGUAUUUUAUAAUAACUCAAUGUUGUUAGUUAAAGUUGGUAUGUUUUAAUCACUUACGUGUGUGUUUAACUCACUGAAUGUACGGUAGCAUUUUUAUCAUAAAGUAAUCAAAGGCUUAUGCUUUGGAAUAUAAGAUUUCACAUGAAUUUAAAUA